CCCUAGCCCCGAUUGCAGUGGAAAUCCUUUUUUGCGUGGACUUCGGGUCUAUUGAUGUGAAAAUGGUCUGCAAAAAAGAUUGCAACGGAAAGCGGGAUUAAGC
Molecule: small RNA, 103 nt
Filed under: Epilithonimonas arachidiradicis
Lineage: Bacteria; Pseudomonadati; Bacteroidota; Flavobacteriia; Flavobacteriales; Weeksellaceae
Description: Chryseobacterium arachidiradicis Flavo-1 RNA
Rfam family: Flavo-1 RNA
Source: RNAcentral